AAGUCCCUGCCGUGUGCGAGACGUGGCCAUAUAUUCCUUGAACCAAUGCUUAUGGCAUUAGGUUGCUGGAUUAACAAGCAGGUGUGCACCGCUACUUUGUCUAGCGAUCCCGAAACUUGUUUGAUGGCAACCACCUUGUGAACUCUCGGUUCCCAGGAUGCCGGCCUUGACGCCACAGGUGGGGCAUUU
This is a non-coding RNA of Paenalcaligenes hominis, 189 nucleotides long. It matches the Rfam family "6S / SsrS RNA". Rfam says of the family: E. coli 6S RNA was the first non coding RNA to be sequenced, but its function was unknown until recently. NCBI's taxonomy places the organism in Bacteria, Pseudomonadati, Pseudomonadota, Betaproteobacteria, Burkholderiales, Alcaligenaceae. The record is from Rfam.